Non-coding RNA from Acanthosepion pharaonis, 103 nucleotides. Lineage: Eukaryota; Metazoa; Mollusca; Cephalopoda; Sepiida; Sepiidae. The record is from the annotation of a GenBank genome assembly.
AUCACAUUGAAACACCUGUUCCCAUAUGAUCACCAAAGUUCAGCAACACUGAGCCUGGUCAGUACCUAAAUGAGUGACCACUUGGGAAUACCAGGUGCUGUAA